UGCUAUCAAUGCUGACGAGCGGCGGACGGGUGAGUAAUGCCUGGGAAUAUGCCCUGAUGUGGGGGAUAACUAUUGGAAACGAUAGCUAAUACCGCAUAAUCUCUUCGGAGCAAAGAGGGGGACCUUCGGGCCUCUCGCGUCAGGAUUAGCCCAGGUGGGAUUAGCUUGUUGGUGGGGUAAUGGCUCACCAAGGCAACGAUCCCUAGCUGGUCUGAGAGGAUGAUCAGCCACACUGGAACUGAGACACGGUCCAGACUCCUACGGGAGGCAGCAGUGGGGAAUAUUGCACAAUGGGGGAAACCCUGAUGCAGCCAUGCCGCGUGUAUGAAGAAGGCCUUCGGGUUGUAAAGUACUUUCAGUUGUGAGGAAGGCGUUAAAGUUAAUAGCUUUGCUGUUUGACGUUAGCAACAGAAGAAGCACCGGCUAACUCCGUGCCAGCAGCCGCGGUAAUACGGAGGGUGCGAGCGUUAAUCGGAAUUACUGGGCGUAAAGCGCAUGCAGGUGGUUUGUUAAGCAAGAUGUGAAAGCCCGGGGCUCAACCUCGGAACAGCAUUUUGAACUGGCAGACUAGAGUACUGUAGAGGGGGGUAGAAUUUCAGG
This 600-nucleotide ribosomal RNA is filed under the name bacterium. RNAcentral describes it as "bacterial SSU rRNA". It matches the Rfam family "Bacterial small subunit ribosomal RNA", at positions 77 to 673 of the family's 1533-position model. The record is from RNAcentral.